Molecule: ribosomal RNA, 569 nt
Filed under: uncultured bacterium
Lineage: Bacteria
Description: bacterial SSU rRNA
Rfam family: Bacterial small subunit ribosomal RNA
Source: RNAcentral
CACUAGUGAUUGAGUUUGAUCAUGGCUCAGGACGAACGCUGGCGGCGUGCCUAAUACAUGCAAGUCGAGCGGACCACUUCUGUGGUCAGCGGCGGACGGGUGAGUAACACGUGGGCAACCUGCCUGUAAGACUGGGAUAACACCGGGAAACCGGUGCUAAUACCGGAUAAUCCUUUCCUUCACAUGAAGGAAAGCUGAAAGACGGUUUCGGCUGUCACUUACAGAUGGGCCCGCGGCGCAUUAGCUAGUUGGUGAGGUAACGGCUCACCAAGGCAACGAUGCGUAGCCGACCUGAGAGGGUGAUCGGCCACACUGGGACUGAGACACGGCCCAGACUCCUACGGGAGGCAGCAGUAGGGAAUCUUCCGCAAUGGACGAAAGUCUGACGGAGCAACGCCGCGUGAGCGAUGAAGGCCUUCGGGUCGUAAAGCUCUGUUGUCAGGGAAGAACAAGUACCGGAGUAACUGCCGGUACCUUGACGGUACCUGACCAGAAAGCCACGGCUAACUACGUGCCAGCAGCCGCGGUAAUACGUAGGUGGCAAGCGUUGUCCGGAAUUAUUGGGCGUA